RNAcentral lists this transfer RNA (63 nucleotides) under Anthaxia chinensis. RNAcentral describes it as "tRNA-His". The record is from RNAcentral. Lineage: Eukaryota; Metazoa; Arthropoda; Insecta; Coleoptera; Buprestidae.
AUUUAAGUAGUUUAUUUAAAAUAUUGAUUUGUGGAGUCAAAGAUGUAAAUUUUAUCUUAAAUA